UACAGAGGGGGCAAGCGUUGUUCGGAAUUACUGGGCGUAAAGGGCGCGUAGGCGGCCGCCUAAGUCAGACGUGAAAUCCCUCGGCUCAACCGGGGAACUGCGUCUGAUACUGGGUGGCUUGAAUUCGGGAGAGGGAUGCGGAAUUCCAGGUGUAGCGGUGAAAUGCGUAGAUAUCUGGAGGAACACCGGUGGCGAAGGCGGCAUCCUGGACCGGUAUUGACGCUGAGGAGCGAAAGCCAGGGGAGCAAACGGG
Molecule: ribosomal RNA, 253 nt
Filed under: uncultured bacterium
Lineage: Bacteria
Description: partial 16S ribosomal RNA
Rfam family: Bacterial small subunit ribosomal RNA
Source: RNAcentral